GCAAUACAACUCUCAAGG
Molecule: small nuclear RNA, 18 nt
Filed under: Arabidopsis thaliana (thale cress)
Lineage: Eukaryota; Viridiplantae; Streptophyta; Magnoliopsida; Brassicales; Brassicaceae
Description: snRNA_00202
Source: RNAcentral